CCGCCACUGGUCGAGGUGGGGCUGCGGGUGCUGCUCGCGUUCGCGCUGCUGUUCCUGUCGGCGGUGGUGGUC
This 72-nucleotide transfer RNA is filed under the name Actinocatenispora comari. RNAcentral's name for it is "tRNA-Ser". Lineage: Bacteria; Bacillati; Actinomycetota; Actinomycetes; Micromonosporales; Micromonosporaceae. The record is from RNAcentral.